This 497-nucleotide ribosomal RNA is filed under the name uncultured bacterium. Its description in RNAcentral is "partial 16S ribosomal RNA". It matches the Rfam family "Bacterial small subunit ribosomal RNA", at positions 28 to 507 of the family's 1533-position model. The record is from RNAcentral.
GAUGAACGCUGGCGGCGUGCCUAAUACAUGCAAGUCGAGCGAACGGACGAGAAGCUUACUUCUCUGAUGUUAGCGGCGGACGGGUGAGUAACACGUGGAUAACCUACCUAUAAGACUGGGAUAACUUCGGGAAACCGGAGCUAAUACCGGAUAAUAUUUUGAACCGCAUGGUUCAAAAGUGAAAGACGGUCUUGCUGUCACUUAUAGAUGGAUCCGCGCUGCAUUAGCUAGUUGGUAAGGUAACGGCUUACCAAGGCAACGAUGCACAGCCGACCUGAGAGGGUGAUCGGCCACACUGGAACUGAGACACGGUCCAGACUCCUACGGGAGGCAGCAGUAGGGAAUCUUCCGCAAUGGGCGAAAGCCUGACGGAGCAACGCCGCGUGAGUGAUGAAGGUCUUCGGAUCGUAAAACUCUGUUAUUAGGGAAGAACAUAUGUGUAAGUAACUGUGCACAUCUUGACGGUACCUAAUCAGAAAGCCACGGCUAACUACGUG